CCUACGGGUAGCUGCAGUGAGGAAUAUUGGUCAAUGGACGAGAGUCUGAACCAGCCAAAUAGCGUGAAGGAUGACUGCCCUAUGGGUUGUAAACUUCUUUUAUAUUGGAAUAAAAUGGUCCACGUGUGGGAUUUUGUAUGUACCAUAUGAAUAAGGAUCGGCUAACGCCGUGCCAGCAGCAGCGGUAAUACGGAGGCUCCGAGCUUUAUCCGGAUUUAUUGGGUUUAAAGGGAGCGUAGAUGGGUUGUUAAGUCAGUUGUGAAAGUUUGCGGCUCAACCGUAAAAUUGCAAUUGAUACUGGCAGUCUUGAGUACAGUUGAGGUAUGCGGAAUUCGUGGUGUAGCGGUGAAAUGCUUAGAUAUCACGAAGAACUCCGAGUGCGAAGGCAGCUUACUAAACUGCCACUGACAUUGAUGCUCGAAAGUGUGGGUAUCAAACAGGAUUAGAUACCCUGGUAAUC
This 460-nucleotide ribosomal RNA is filed under the name uncultured bacterium. Its description in RNAcentral is "partial 16S ribosomal RNA". It matches the Rfam family "Bacterial small subunit ribosomal RNA", at positions 338 to 795 of the family's 1533-position model. The record is from RNAcentral.